AUACGGGAGGCAGCAGUGGGGAAUAUUGCGCAAUGGGCGAAAGCCUGACGCAGCGACGCCGCGUGGGUGAUGAAGGCCUUCGGGUCGUAAAGCCCUGUCGGGAGGGACGAAACCUCGGCGACCUAAUACGUCGUCGACCUGACGGUACCUCCAAAGGAAGCACCGGCUAACUCCGUGCCAGCAGCCGCGGUAAUACGGAGGGUGCAAGCGUUGUUCGGAAUCACUGGGCGUAAAGCGCGUGUAGGCGGCCUUCUAAGUCUGAUGUGAAAGCCCGGGGCUUACCUCCGGAAGUGCAUUGGAAACUGGAAGGCUAGAGUACCGGAGAGGAAGGUGGAAUUCCUGGUGUAGCGGUGAAAUGCGUAGAUAUCAGGAGGAACACCGGUGGCGAAGGCGGCCUUCUGGACGGCUACUGACGCUGAGACGCGAAAGCGUGGGGAGCAAACAGGAUUAGAUACCCUUGUAC
Molecule: ribosomal RNA, 463 nt
Filed under: uncultured bacterium
Lineage: Bacteria
Description: bacterial SSU rRNA
Rfam family: Bacterial small subunit ribosomal RNA
Source: RNAcentral